CAUCUAUCAGCCAAAGUGUUUAAACAGUUAAUGUGUGGGCAUAGCGAGUCAACAAAAGGAGAUUCAACUUUUGUUGAAAAGGAACCAGUGACAGCCUAGAGCGCAGCCUUGGUUCAGCUUCUGACAUUCAGGUUGGCAGAGGGCCUGGCUCCAGCUGUCCCUGUGCCCUGUUUGCAAGGAUGUAUAGAAGGUCACUCACAGCCAGCCCCUUUCCCUGUUCUGAUAACAUCGGAGGGAGCUCCCCAGCUGAAAGGCAAUCUCCAGCAAAUCUCAGGCUGGCCAUCAGGCAAGAUCGGAGGACAAAGAGCGAUUGUUGAUGGAGUGCUCCGAUCCUGCAGAAAGGUCAAUCCCAAGCCUUCCUUUCUCCUCUCACCCUCCUGUACCUGAUGCCUCACAAAGUGACCAGCCUGUCAGACAGCCAAGUGUCACUGGCCCCGUUUAACAGAUGAAGAAACGGAAGCUGAGAGCCCCGCUUAAGGUCACACCUCGAGGAAACGUCACACACCACACAAACGCCAAGGCUGCACAAUCUUCACUUCUCCACAUCACUCAUGUGUAGACAAACUAUAUUUUUAGCAUUAAAAAAAAAAAAACCCUCCAGCCCCUCUUUCAAGCCCUGAUGAUAGCUUUCCCCUUCUUGACAUCAAGUAUGUUACACCACAGUAAAUAAAGGGACUCAGGAAA
This 684-nucleotide long non-coding RNA is filed under the name Heterocephalus glaber (naked mole-rat). RNAcentral's name for it is "lncRNA (ENSHGLG00000037902.1)". Lineage: Eukaryota; Metazoa; Chordata; Mammalia; Rodentia; Bathyergidae. The record is from RNAcentral.